Molecule: ribosomal RNA, 1364 nt
Filed under: Campylobacter jejuni
Lineage: Bacteria; Pseudomonadati; Campylobacterota; Epsilonproteobacteria; Campylobacterales; Campylobacteraceae
Description: partial 23S ribosomal RNA
Rfam family: Bacterial large subunit ribosomal RNA
Source: RNAcentral
UUUUUGAAGUCUUCGGAUGGAUAGAAGAACCCCUGAUGCCGUCGAGCCAAGAAAAGUUUCUAAGUUUAGCUAAUGUUGCCCGUACCGUAAACCGACACAGGUGGGUGGGAUGAGUAUUCUAAGGCGCGUGGAAGAACUCUCUUUAAGGAACUCUGCAAAAUAGCACCGUAUCUUCGGUAUAAGGUGUGGUUAGCUUUGUAUUAGGAUUUACUCCGAAAGCAAGGAAACUUACAACAAAGAGUCCCUCCCGACUGUUUACCAAAAACACAGCACUCUGCUAACUCGUAAGAGGAUGUAUAGGGUGUGACGCCUGCCCGGUGCUCGAAGGUUAAUUGAUGGGGUUAGCAUUAGCGAAGCUCUUGAUCGAAGCCCGAGUAAACGGCGGCCGUAACUAUAACGGUCCUAAGGUAGCGAAAUUCCUUGUCGGUUAAAUACCGACCUGCAUGAAUGGCGUAACGAGAUGGGAGCUGUCUCAAAGAGGGAUCCAGUGAAAUUGUAGUGGAGGUGAAAAUUCCUCCUACCCGCGGCAAGACGGAAAGACCCCGUGGACCUUUACUACAGCUUGACACUGCUACUUGGAUAAGAAUGUGCAGGAUAGGUGGGAGGCUUUGAGUAUAUGACGCCAGUUGUAUAUGAGCCAUUGUUGAGAUACCACUCUUUCUUAUUUGGGUAGCUAACCAGCUUGAGUUAUCCUCAAGUGGGACAAUGUCUGGUGGGUAGUUUGACUGGGGCGGUCGCCUCCCAAAUAAUAACGGAGGCUUACAAAGGUUGGCUCAGAACGGUUGGAAAUCGUUCGUAGAGUAUAAAGGUAUAAGCCAGCUUAACUGCAAGACAUACAAGUCAAGCAGAGACGAAAGUCGGUCUUAGUGAUCCGGUGGUUCUGUGUGGAAGGGCCAUCGCUCAAAGGAUAAAAGGUACCCCGGGGAUAACAGGCUGAUCUCCCCCAAGAGCUCACAUCGACGGGGAGGUUUGGCACCUCGAUGUCGGCUCAUCGCAUCCUGGGGCUGGAGCAGGUCCCAAGGGUAUGGCUGUUCGCCAUUUAAAGCGGUACGCGAGCUGGGUUCAGAACGUCGUGAGACAGUUCGGUCCCUAUCUGCCGUGGGCGUAAGAAGAUUGAAGAGAUUUGACCCUAGUACGAGAGGACCGGGUUGAACAAACCACUGGUGUAGCUGUUGUUCUGCCAAGAGCAUCGCAGCGUAGCUAAGUUUGGAAAGGAUAAACGCUGAAAGCAUCUAAGCGUGAAGCCAACUCUAAGAUGAAUCUUCUCUAAGCUCUCUAGAAGACUACUAGUUUGAUAGGCUGGGUGUGUAAUGGAUGAAAGUCCUUUAGCUGACCAGUACUAAUAGAGCGUUUGGCUUAUCUUU